GACGAACGCUGGCGGCGUGCUUAACACAUGCAAGUCGAACGGAAAGGCCCUGCUUUUGUGGGGUGCUCGAGUGGCGAACGGGUGAGUAACACGUGAGUAACCUGCCCUUGACUUUGGGAUAACUUCAGGAAACUGGGGCUAAUACCGGAUAGGAGCUCCCGCUGCAUGGUGGGGGUUGGAUAGUUUCGGCGGUUGGGGAUGGACUCGCGGCUUAUCAGCUUGUUGGUGGGGUAGUGGCUUACCAAGGCUUUGACGGGUAGCCGGCCUGAGAGGGUGACCGGGCACAUUGGGACUGAGACAGGGACCAGACUCCUACGGGAGGCAGCAGUAGGGAAUAUUACACAAUGGGCGGGAGCCUGAGCCAGACACGCCGCGUGCGGGAUGACGGCCUUCGGGUUGUGAACCGAUUUCGCCUGUGACGAAGCGUGAGUGACGGUAAUGGGUAAAGAAGCACCGGCUAACUACGUG
RNAcentral lists this ribosomal RNA (468 nucleotides) under uncultured bacterium. Its description in RNAcentral is "partial 16S ribosomal RNA". It matches the Rfam family "Bacterial small subunit ribosomal RNA", at positions 28 to 507 of the family's 1533-position model. The record is from RNAcentral.